GACGAACGCUGGCGGCGUGCUUAACACGUGCAAGUCGAACGGAAAGGCCCUGCUUUUGUGGGGUGCUCGAGUGGCGAACGGGUGAGUAACACGUGAGUAACCUGCCCUUGACUUUGGGAUAACUUCAGGAAACUGGGGCUAAUACCGGAUAGGAGCUCCUGCUGCAUGGUGGGGGUUGGAAAGUUUCGGCGGUUGGGGAUGGACUCGCGGCUUAUCAGCUUGUUGGUGGGGUAGCGGCUUACCAAGGCUUUGACGGGUAGCCGGCCUGAGAGGGUGACCGGCCACAUUGGGACUGAGAUACGGCCCAGACUCCUACGGGAGGCAGCAGUGGGGAAUAUUGCACAAUGGGCGGAAGCCUGAUGCAGCAACGCCGCGUGCGGGAUGACGGCCUUCGGGUUGUAAACCGCUUUCGCCUGUGACGAAGCGUGAGUGACGGUAAUGGGUAAAGAAGCACCGGCUAACUACGUG
This 468-nucleotide ribosomal RNA is filed under the name uncultured bacterium. Its description in RNAcentral is "partial 16S ribosomal RNA". It matches the Rfam family "Bacterial small subunit ribosomal RNA", at positions 28 to 507 of the family's 1533-position model. The record is from RNAcentral.